CGUGCGUGCAGGAAACAGAUCGGUUUGGUGGUGGCGGAAUCAUUGUAUGGGGCGGAAUUACCUACCAGGAACGCACAGAGCUCAAAAUCAUCGUUGGUAACCUAAAUGCAACAAGGUAUAGGGACGAAAUUCUGGCUCCAGUUGUUCUCCCGUUUCUCCGAAGACAUCGUUUUAACCACGUUUUUCAGCAGGACAACGCCCGUUGUCACGUGGCACACAUUUCGAUGACCUUUUUGGAGAAUAACCAUAUUCGUGUGUUGCCUUGGCCAGCAAUGUCUCCAGAUUUAUCACCAAUUGAACAUCUUUGGGACGAACUUGAACGACGUAUCAGAAAUAGCCAAAAUCCACCGGAAACGCUAGCCCAGCUCCGAACAGC
RNAcentral lists this long non-coding RNA (376 nucleotides) under Mytilus galloprovincialis (Mediterranean mussel). The record is from RNAcentral. Lineage: Eukaryota; Metazoa; Mollusca; Bivalvia; Mytilida; Mytilidae.